AAAAAAACACCACUUUCAAAAGGAGCUGAGAGAAAAUGCAUGGUACUCUGUCUGUCUCACGUGGUCGGGUCGAGCCCAGCUGCUGAGGGUCUUCGUGAAUGAAACCAUUCUGGAUGAGCCACAUCAAAAUCCUAUCCCACACGGACACCUGGCCCAAAAUGGCACUCUAAGUCUCGGGGCGUCUCAUUUUCUGCGAGAUGGCGAAGUGCAGCCAGAGAGCGGCAAUAACCUGGUUGGUGAGAUUGGUCUGUUCAGGAUGUGGGGCAGAGAAUGGAAUGCUGGGGAGCUGAGGAGUCUGGGCUGUGCCGAUGGAGAUGUGCUGAGCUGGGAUCUGAAGCAUUUCAAACAGGGCCGUCGUCCCCAGUCUGACAACAAUCUACACUGUGCAUGGUCACACUACAAAAUCAAAAUGUGGACAGUGGUAACCACCUCUAAUGAGUCUGGACAACGUUCAGUCCCACUGGAGGAAAUCGUGAGAAACUGGUUGGAGAGCAUUUUACCUCAAAGUGUUUCUGUCCAGAACAUCAAUGUGUCCUUUCCAAGCCAGGCCUGCCAUGUAGUUAAUAAUUCUGAUGCCCGACAUACGCAACAACCUCAGGUAC
Long non-coding RNA from Acanthochromis polyacanthus (spiny chromis), 602 nucleotides. RefSeq lists it as uncharacterized. The transcript has 4 exons. NCBI's taxonomy places the organism in Eukaryota, Metazoa, Chordata, Actinopteri, Pomacentridae. The record is from RefSeq and is a predicted model, not a curated record.